RNAcentral lists this small RNA (28 nucleotides) under Bombyx mori (domestic silkworm). RNAcentral describes it as "ovarian small RNA-10410". The record is from RNAcentral. Lineage: Eukaryota; Metazoa; Arthropoda; Insecta; Lepidoptera; Bombycidae.
AACGUCAAAGGUGUCAACGAGCGACGUC